GCGUGAACGAUGAAGGCCUUCGGGUCGUAAAGUUCUGUUGUCAGGGAAGAACAAGUACCGGAGUAACUGCCGGUACCUUGACGGUACCUGACCAGAAAGCCACGGCUAACUACGUGCCAGCAGCCGCGGUAAUACGUAGGUGGCAAGCGUUGUCCGGAAUUAUUGGGCGUAAAGCGCGCGCAGGCGGUUCCUUAAGUCUGAUGUGAAAGCCCCCGGCUCAACCGGGGAGGGUCAUUGGAAACUGGGGAACUUGAGUGCAGAAUAGGAGAGCGGAAUUCCACGUGUAGCGGUGAAAUGCGUAGAGAUGUGGAGGAACACCAGUGGCGAAGGCGGCUCUCUGGUCUGUAACUGACGCUGAGGCGCGAAAGCGUGGGGAGCGAACAGGAUUAGUC
This 392-nucleotide ribosomal RNA is filed under the name Bacillus sp. (in: firmicutes). RNAcentral's name for it is "bacterial SSU rRNA". It matches the Rfam family "Bacterial small subunit ribosomal RNA", at positions 399 to 783 of the family's 1533-position model. The record is from RNAcentral. Lineage: Bacteria; Bacillati; Bacillota; Bacilli; Caryophanales; Bacillaceae.